This 358-nucleotide ribosomal RNA is filed under the name Amblyosyllis spectabilis. Its description in RNAcentral is "partial 16S ribosomal RNA". It matches the Rfam family "Bacterial large subunit ribosomal RNA", at positions 1998 to 2597 of the family's 2925-position model. The record is from RNAcentral. Lineage: Eukaryota; Metazoa; Annelida; Polychaeta; Phyllodocida; Syllidae.
GGGGUAAACUAAAUUUCCCUGUCUCCUGAAAAAUAAUAAAAAUUUACCUGUUAGUGAAGAGGCUAACAUUAUUCUAAAAGACAAGAAGACCCUAUAGAGCUUCCCGUAACCCUUAUUUAUAAGGCCUACCGGUUUUGUUGGGGCGACAGGGGAGAAAAAUUAACCUCCCUCUAACAAAGGCCUAUAAGCCUAUUUCUCUACCCUUAAAUAAGGAUAAAAAAAAGCUACCUUAGGGAUAACAGGCUAAUUCUCCCUAAGAGUUCUAAUCGACGGGAGAGAUUGGCACCUCGAUGUUGGCUUAAGGUUCCUUUAUUGCGCAGAAGUAAUAUUAGGUGGUUUGUUCAACCAUUAAAUCCUU